RNAcentral lists this ribosomal RNA (1965 nucleotides) under human gut metagenome. RNAcentral describes it as "bacterial LSU rRNA". The stretch from base 568 to 1965 matches the Rfam family "Bacterial large subunit ribosomal RNA", at positions 1 to 1999 of the family's 2925-position model. The record is from RNAcentral.
GCAAUCUCAAAAUGGAAAUUAAAUACCUCCUUGGAGGCGAAUUUAAACAACCGUGCGAUCGCCCUUCGAAAUAUCAGGGAGCGUGCAAAAUUCCGUAUUCAGGAAGGUGUGGUACGGGGAUUUCGUGAUUUCUUAUACGGUCAGGGGUUUACAGAGAUCCAUACACCAAAGAUCGGUGCAAAAAGUGCAGAGGGCGGGGCAAACCUGUUCCGGUUGGAAUAUUUUCACAGACCGGCAGUUUUACAGCAGAGUCCUCAGUUUUACAAACAGAUGAUGGUCGGCGUAUUUGACCGGGUAUUUGAGACGGCGCCGGUAUUCCGUGCAGAAAAACAUAAUACCAAACGUCACUUGAACGAGUACACCAGCCUUGAUUUUGAGAUGGGAUAUAUUGAUGGAUUUGAAGAUAUCAUGGCGAUGGAGACCGGAUUUUUGCAGUAUAUGAUCGCACUGCUCAAAAAAGAUUAUGCAGAGGAACUCCGGUUAUUAGGCGUCACACUGCCGAACGUCGACAAAAUUCCGACCGUGCGUUUCGAUGAAGCAAAAGAAAAAGUGGCAGAAAAAUAUCACCGCCAGAUCAGAAAUCCAUACGAUCUUGAGCCGGAGGAGGAAGCACUCAUCGGACAGUAUUUCAAAGAAGAGUAUGAUGCGGAUUUCGUAUUUAGAUCGGAAUAUCGUUGUGUAGGGCGUGAGUGUAGUUCUCUGUGGUCGCCGGAUCAUCCAAAAACACGGGAUGGAGGUCCGCACCAAUAAGCGUUGAAAAGCUUCUGGAUGAGCCGAGUGUAGGAGUGAAAGGCCAAUCAAACUUGGAGAUAGCUCGUACUCCCCGAAAGGCAUUUAGGUGCCGCGUCGGAUGGUCACCGUGAGAGGUAGAGCGACCGAUAGGACAAGAGGGCUUCACCGCCUAUCGAGUCCUGACGAACUCCGAAUGCUCACGGUCUGCAGUCCGGCAGUAAGGGGGCGGGUGCUAAGGUCCGUCCCCGAGAGGAGAAGAAUCCAGACCGCCGUCUAAGGUCCCGGAGUUCUGCCUGAGUUAGUCUAACGAAGUCUGGUCCCUAUGACAGCUAGGAUGUUGGCUUGGAAGCAGCCAUUCAUUCAAAGAGUGCGUAACAGCUCACUAGUCGAGGGUCCGGGCAUGGAUAAUAAUCGGGUAUAAGGCAGACACCGAAGGCGCGGGAUAGCAUUUAAGAAAGUAUCGGUAGGGGAGCAUACUCACAGCGUGGAAUGGUGUACGUAAGUUAUCCUGGAGCGGUGAGUAAAGCAAAUGUAGGAAUAAGUAACGAUAAGGAGGGUUAGAUUCCCUCCCGCUGUAAGACCAAGGUUUCCCGGGCAAUGCCAAUCAGCCCGGGGUCAGUCGGGUCCUAAGUCUAAGCCGAACGGCGAUGGCGAUGGCAGAGACGGUUAAUAUUCCGUCACUGCCGCAUGGGGCGACGUGGAGACGGAGCAGUGAAACCACCGCGGGGCGACGGAAGUCCCCGUUGAAGAGUGUAGGUGUUGAGGAUGGCAGGCAAAUCCACCGUCCGAGCUGAACUUGAUAGUAUGGAGUCUUCUUCGGAAGAAUCCAAUAGUGUGGGUAAUCAUACUCCCGAGAAAAUCCGCUAAGCUUAACCCAUGCGGCACCCGUACCGCAAACGGACACACGUGGUCGGGUAGAACAUACUAAGGCGUUGAGAGAUUCAUGGUUAAGGAACUAGGCAAAUUGACCCUGUAACUUCGGGAUAAAGGGUCCUCGUGAUGAGCGAGGCGCAGAGAAUAGGUCCAGGCAACUGUUUAACAAAAACACAGGGCUGUGCAAACUCGAAAGAUGACGUAUACAGCCUGACACCUGCCCGGUGCCGGAAGGUUAAGAGGAGAUGUCACUCGCAAGAGGAAGCAUUGAAUUGAAGCCCCGGUAAACGGCGGCCGUAACUAUAACGGUCCUAAGGUAGCGAAAUUCCUUGUCGGGUAAGUUCCGACCUGCACGAAUGG